AACGAACGCUGGCGGCAGGCCUAACACAUGCAAGUCGAGCGAGGACUUCGGUCCUAGCAGCGGACGGGUGAGUAACGCGUGGGAACGUGCCCUUUGGUACGGAAUAGCCCCGGGAAACUGGGAGUAAUACCGUAUGGUGUCUUCGGACUAAAGAUUUAUCGCCAAAGGAUCGGCCCGCGUUGGAUUAGGUAGUUGGUGGGGUAAUGGCCUACCAAGCCGACGAUCCAUAGCUGGUUUGAGAGGAUGAUCAGCCACACUGGGACUGAGACACGGCCCAGACUCCUACGGGAGGCAGCAGUGGGGAAUCUUAGACAAUGGGGGCAACCCUGAUCUAGCCAUGCCGCGUGAGUGAUGAAGGCCCUAGGGUUGUAAAGCUCUUUCAGCUGGGAAGAUAAUGACGGUACCAGCAGAAGAAGCCCCGGCUAACUCCGUG
Molecule: ribosomal RNA, 433 nt
Filed under: uncultured bacterium
Lineage: Bacteria
Description: bacterial SSU rRNA
Rfam family: Bacterial small subunit ribosomal RNA
Source: RNAcentral